UGGCGGGAGGAAUAAGUUACAAAUUUUUUUUAAAAUUACUUUUGUGUUAGGAAAGCACAAUAUAAAAACAAAACUUUUAAAAAAGCCAAAAUUUGAUAGUUAAUACUGAUGCUUCUAAUAUUAUAUAACAUGAUUCUUGACAUUUUUUUAAAUGCCAACUCUGCAGAUUAUAAACUCCUUCAACUUCAGAUUUUUAGUAGCAUGAGAUACAACACUUCUUCACUUCAGAAAUAACAUUUAUUUUCUGAGAAAUCAAUUAAUUUCAUGUGUUAAGAAACAUCACUGAGUUGCUGUUUGAAAAACUGUUUCAGAAUGAAAAAUUUGAGGAAUGGUUGUUCAUCAUUUAGAAUAUGGAAAGGGUGGUCAUAGAUCAUAACUGAUUGGUGCUUCGCUAAGUGAAACACUAUUUAAAGAUCAAUUUUAAUAUGAAUAAAGGGCGUUUUGAGGAAAAGAGUGGAUGCUGAAGAAAGAAGAUCUUACGUGUGACAUGUUUGUAAUCCAAAUUUUGAUUCAAGCCAUCUUUUAUAGAUAAUUGGUGGCCGGACACUUCUUUAUUGAACGUUCAUAAGGACUGGUCCAUUUACCACCGAGAACGUUACCCAGAGUGUUCACUGGGGACAGCCGAAGAGGAGGACAACACAACAGCCAAGCUUUACGCGGGAGUCGAACUCUUUAGUUUGUACAACCAGUCAGCCUUCGCUAACAACUAUGCCUUCCAGGAUGGCAUUUUUCAUUAUUUUAACCUU
Long non-coding RNA from Stegodyphus dumicola, 746 nucleotides. RefSeq lists it as uncharacterized. The record is from RefSeq and is a predicted model, not a curated record. NCBI's taxonomy places the organism in Eukaryota, Metazoa, Arthropoda, Arachnida, Araneae, Eresidae.